CAGCUUACUCCUAUUUUCUUUUUUUUUUUGUAGUGAACGUGUCACAGCUUACUCCUAUUUUCUUUUUUUUUU
RNAcentral lists this transfer RNA (72 nucleotides) under Torricellia tiliifolia. RNAcentral's name for it is "tRNA-His". Lineage: Eukaryota; Viridiplantae; Streptophyta; Magnoliopsida; Apiales; Torricelliaceae. The record is from RNAcentral.